AGGACGAACGCUGGCGGCGUGCUUAACACAUGCAAGUCGAGCGGUAAGGCUCCUUCGGGAGUACACGAGCGGCGAACGGGUGAGUAACACGUGAGCAAUCUGCCCUUCUCUUCGGAAUAACCAUUGGAAACGAUGGCUAAUGCCGAAUACGACCUCCUUUCGCAUGAUCGGAGGUGGAAAGCUCCGGCGGAGAAGGAUGAGCUCGCGGCCUAUCAGCUAGUUGGCGGGGUAACGCCCACCAAGGCGACGACGGGUAGCCGGCCUGAGAGGGUGACCGGCCA
RNAcentral lists this ribosomal RNA (281 nucleotides) under uncultured soil bacterium. Its description in RNAcentral is "partial 16S ribosomal RNA". It matches the Rfam family "Bacterial small subunit ribosomal RNA", at positions 26 to 310 of the family's 1533-position model. The record is from RNAcentral.